GUGCGUGCGCGGCUACCAUGCAGUCGAGCGGUAACAUAUAGAACUUGCUACUUUGCUGACGAGCGGCGGACGGGUGAGUAGUGCUUGGGAACGUGCCUUGAGGUGGGGGACAAGUGUUGGAAACCAGUGCUAAUACCGCAUAAUGUCUACGGACCAAGGGGGGCUUCCUCUCUCCCCUUUAUAUUGCCCCAAGUGGGAUUAUCUAUGUGGUGAGGUAGUGUCUCCCCAGGGCCAAUAUCCCUAUGUGGUUUGAGAGGAUGAUCACCCACUCUGGGACUGACACACGGCCCACACUCCUACGGGAGGCAGCAGUGGAGAAUAUUGCACAGUGGGCGCAACCCUGAUGCACCCAUGCCGCGUGUGUGAAAAAGGCCUUCGGGUUGUAAAGCUCUUUCACUCGAGAAGAAAGGUUAAUAUUUAAUACCUGCUAUCUGUGACUUUACUGACAAAAAAAGCCCCGUCUAUCUCCGUGCCAACACCCGCGGUAAUACAGAGGGUGCGAGCGUUACUCAAAAUUACUGGGCGUAAAGCGUACGCACGCGUUGUGUUAAGCGAUAUGUGAAACCCCCGGUCUCACCCUGAAAACUGCAUUUCAAACUGGCACUCUAGAGUGAGAUAGAGGGUGAUAAAAUUUCGUGUGUAGCGGAGAAAUGCAUAGAUAUCUGAAAGAAUACCUAUGGCGAAGGCACCCACCUGGCUCAACUCUGACUCUCGUGUACGAAAGCGUGGAGAGCACACAAGAUUAUAUCUGCUU
Molecule: ribosomal RNA, 754 nt
Filed under: Pseudoalteromonas sp.
Lineage: Bacteria; Pseudomonadati; Pseudomonadota; Gammaproteobacteria; Alteromonadales; Pseudoalteromonadaceae
Description: bacterial SSU rRNA
Rfam family: Bacterial small subunit ribosomal RNA
Source: RNAcentral